GACGAACGCUGGCGGCGUGCCUAAUACAUGCAAGUCGAACGAGAGCGACCGGUGCUUGCACUGGUCAAUCUAGUGGCGAACGGGUGAGUAACACGUGGGUAACCUGCCCAUCAGAGGGGGAUAACAUCCGGAAACGGGUGCUAAAACCGCAUAGGUCUUCGAACCGCAUGGUUUGAAGAGGAAAAGAGGCGCAAGCUUCUGCUGAUGGAUGGACCCGCGGUGCAUUAGCUAGUUGGUGAGGUAACGGCUCACCAAGGCCGUGAUGCAUAGCCGACCUGAGAGGGUGAUCGGCCACAUUGGAACUGAGACACGGCCCAAACUCCUACGGGAGGCAGCAGUAGGGAAUCUUCCGCAAUGGACGCAAGUCUGACGGAGCAACGCCGCGUGAGUGAAGAAGGUUUUCGGAUCGUAAAACUCUGUUGUUAGAGAAGAACAAGUGCUAGAGUAACUGUUAGCGCCUUGACGGUAUCUAACCAGAAAGCCACGGCUAACUACGUG
Molecule: ribosomal RNA, 498 nt
Filed under: uncultured bacterium
Lineage: Bacteria
Description: partial 16S ribosomal RNA
Rfam family: Bacterial small subunit ribosomal RNA
Source: RNAcentral